AUUGAACGCUGGCGGCAGGCCUAACACAUGCAAGUCGAACGGUAACAGAAAGCAGCUUGCUGCUUUGCUGACGAGUGGCGGACGGGUGAGUAAUGUCUGGGAAACUGCCUGAUGGAGGGGGAUAACUACUGGAAACGGUAGCUAAUACCGCAUAACGUCGCAAGACCAAAGAGGGGGACCUUCGGGCCUCUUGCCAUCGGAUGUGCCCAGAUGGGAUUAGCUAGUAGGUGGGGUAACGGCUCACCUAGGCGACGAUCCCUAGCUGGUCUGAGAGGGUGACCAGCCACACUGGAACUGAGACACGGUCCAGACUCCUACGGGAGGCAGCAGUGGGGAAUAUUGCACAAUGGGCGCAAGCCUGAUGCAGCCAUGCCGCGUGUAUGAAGAAGGCCUUCGGGUUGUAAAGUACUUUCAGCGGGGAGGAAGGGAGUAAAGUUAAUACCUUUGCUCAUUGACGUUACCCGCAGAAGAAGCACCGGCUAACUCCGU
Molecule: ribosomal RNA, 489 nt
Filed under: uncultured bacterium
Lineage: Bacteria
Description: partial 16S ribosomal RNA
Rfam family: Bacterial small subunit ribosomal RNA
Source: RNAcentral